AAAAUACAACACAUGAAGGGUACAUUUGUCAUUUUGCUCAUCAACAAACCUCCCACACUUUCUUUUAUUUUUUUUCUGUUUCUUUACCAUUAUCAGGAAGAGAAAGAAGAACAACUUGCUCUUCACCAUUCACCACCCUUCUUCUCCCUCUCUCUGUCAAACCCCUCUUCUCCCUCCACCACCAUUCAUUGAUGCCACCGAUCUCCCACUACAAGAAAAUAUAGAGAUAGCGACAGUCAAUUUGAGGCGCUAUCAAGGGAACCGCCACCGCUCUGGUCAAUACCGACUAUUAUUGCGGCGUUCAUUCAACUGCCUAUGCUGGUUGUAAAUUUCGGCGGUUUCGUGUGUAUUGCGGCGGCGGUAUUAGUGUGUACAGCGGCGGCUAGAUUAGGAAUGAGUGUUGGUUCAAAUUGUUCACUGUUUUCGAUCUGAGUUCGUUUUCACUACAUCACUCACGUUUCGAUUCGCGUUUCCUUCAAGCUUUAGAUUCACGAUUCACAAUUUACCUUCAAUCAAGCUUCAAAAUCCAGGGCUGUGAUGCUUCACUGCUGUUGGAGGAUCGAAACAGUUCCUAUGAGAAACAGGCUGUUCCAAAUCAGACUUUGAAAGGUUUUGACAAAAUUGACUUAAUUAAGGAGGAAGUGGACCAAGCAUGUCCUCGUUUAGUGCUUUUGCAGCAUGAUAAUAUGAUAUUAACUAUUAAGUUUUACAUUAUAUGGAGUUUUGAUUUGCUCGCACAAUAUGCCAAUCACUAAACUAGUUUUAUUAAAAUUUUGCUUGGUUAUAUAAACUACCGUGCUUGGUCUAACCAGGGUUUGUGGGUUUGACACGAUAGAAGAUAAGCAGGUGCCUAAAUUUGGCAUUUUAUAUUCAAAUAGAAGAUAAGCAGAACUCAUGAAGUAACUUCUUAAUGUUCAUUGAUGUUUAAAGGACAAUGAACUAUGCAAACCUUCCUUUAUUUUCAUUUACAUGGAAUAUUAUCAAUGGCACUGAGGUGAAUAACCCGGCUAGGCAUUGGAUAAAGCAGAGAGGGGUUUUACUGCUAUAUGCCAUUGGUGGCCAUAUGCAUCAUAUUUCCAGUAUAUUGUAGAUAGUUUGAAAAAGUUUCGUUGAAAAAUUUUAUGAGCUGCAUUUUAUUCUACAUGAAGCCUUGUUCACUUGACAAUAAAAUGCAGGCCAGAAGACUAAAAGAUUCCAUAUCACAAAUAGAUACCAAACUUGAAGAAAUAAAGGUAUCUGAACAAUCAGACCCACGUCACCAGGUUUCCCUUGUUGUCCAUCCAAUGCCGCAGGCUUUGGAAGCUGCCUUGGUACAUUACGAUGCUGACGAUAAGAAAAGAAAUGCUAAAGGGCCAAAGCCAGAUGGUUAUGUUUAGGAGAAUGUAAUAUAUUUUGUUGGACUGAAAGCAGUAGCAAGUGAAAGUGUGCAGCAACCACUACUCUGCUAUGACAACUUGAUCAGGACAAUUUUUCUAUUCGAAGAAGGAUGUUGUGUUUUCAAGGCUUACUGACUUUGAUUGGCGUUGAUUACGGCGUUGGGAAGAGUACUCUAUUGUUGCAGACAAAGGGCAGUAGGAAGCAAGUGGUAUAGACAUGAUCGUGAGAGAAGGGGAUUGAGAGAAUCUUAAGCUAUUCAUGCAUCUGAUGGCCAUGCUGAACUGGUCUUGUCAAUGUAGGAACAGCAGUACAACACCAAAGGGGAGCAGCUAAUGGAAUUUCCAUGACAGCUAUGUUUCUAUUCAAAGCUAUUGGCCCUGCUGCUGGUGGUACAAUGCACAAAUAAACUUCAAUAUUGAGGAUGGUCCAUUAUUAUGACAAAGUGCAUGUGCUUGGGAGGCCAUUAAUACCCUGUGGAAAUCGAGCAUGGUCCAUUAUAUAUUUUCUUUCUUCUUGAACUUCUCCUUUGAAAGUUUGAUUUAUGCUCAGAACUUCUCCUGUGGAAGUUUGAGGAAAGGAAUUUUCAUUGCUGAAGCAAUUUUCAUCUUUGCAACCAUGAUUCUUAAAGUAUACUACUACAUGUACUUCACAAAGGCAACCACAACUCCACUUUCUCGGACGACUAACAGGGUUAGUUCGUCAGUUGGAAUGAUUGGAUAUGCAUGAUGAAUCAUGAAAGGGUAACAAAUUUUGAGUAUUCAUUUCAAUGGAUGUCAUUUCUCUAUGAAAUAACUACAUGGUAAAAUAGUGGUUUUUACUUUGUUUUUUGCUUAGUUAACUAGUGCUUAUAAUGCUCUGAUGGAUGUUAAACUCAAAAGCAAGUUAUUAUACUAUUAUAUUUAAGUUUAGGUGAAGGGGAUGUACUAAACUAAAUUUUGGAAGCAUGUGUCACAUGCAAUGAGGUUUCAGAUAAACUUUACAUUGUAUUUUUUACUAUUAAUUAAUUAUUUGUCUGAGUAUUUUUUUU
Trifolium pratense (red clover) is the source of this 2404-nucleotide long non-coding RNA. RefSeq lists it as uncharacterized. The record is from RefSeq and is a predicted model, not a curated record. The transcript is spliced from 10 exons. NCBI's taxonomy places the organism in Eukaryota, Viridiplantae, Streptophyta, Magnoliopsida, Fabales, Fabaceae.